AAAAGCAUACUUCAAA
RNAcentral lists this small RNA (16 nucleotides) under Arabidopsis thaliana (thale cress). Its description in RNAcentral is "ATSL245460". The record is from RNAcentral. Lineage: Eukaryota; Viridiplantae; Streptophyta; Magnoliopsida; Brassicales; Brassicaceae.